RNAcentral lists this ribosomal RNA (468 nucleotides) under uncultured bacterium. RNAcentral describes it as "partial 16S ribosomal RNA". It matches the Rfam family "Bacterial small subunit ribosomal RNA", at positions 28 to 507 of the family's 1533-position model. The record is from RNAcentral.
GACGAACGCUGGCGGCGUGCUUAACACAUGCAAGUCGAACGGAAAGGCCCUGCUUUUGUGGGGUGCUCGAGUGGCGAACGGGUGAGUAACACGUGAGUAACCUGCCCUUGACUUUGGGAUAACUUCAGGAAACUGGGGCUAAUACCGGAUAGGAGCUCCUGCUGCAUGGUGGGGGUUGGAAAGUUUCGGCGGUUGGGGAUGGACUCGCGGCUUAUCAGCUUAUUGGUGGGGUAGUGGCUUACCAAGGCUUUGACGGGUAGCCGGCCUGAGAGGGUGACCGGCCACAUUGGGACUGAGAUACGACCCAGACUCCUACGGGAGGCAGCAGUGGGGAAUAUUGCACAAUGGGCGGAAGCCUGAUGCAGCAACGCCGCGUGCGGGAUGACGGCCUUCGGGUUGUAAACCGCUUUCGCCUGUGACGAAGCGUGAGUGACGGUAAUGGGUAAAGAAGCACCGGCUAACUACGUG